GGGCCCAUAGCUCAGUUGGGAGAGCGCGGCGUUCGCAAUGCCGAGGUCGUCGGUUCGAGUCCGAUUGGGUCCA
Molecule: transfer RNA, 73 nt
Filed under: Oligoflexia bacterium
Lineage: Bacteria; Pseudomonadati; Bdellovibrionota; Oligoflexia
Description: tRNA-Ala
Rfam family: tRNA
About the family: Transfer RNA (tRNA) molecules are approximately 80 nucleotides in length. Their secondary structure includes four short double-helical elements and three loops (D, anti-codon, and T loops).
Source: RNAcentral